Molecule: ribosomal RNA, 274 nt
Filed under: uncultured bacterium
Lineage: Bacteria
Description: partial 16S ribosomal RNA
Rfam family: Bacterial small subunit ribosomal RNA
Source: RNAcentral
AUACGGAGGGUGCAAGCGUUGUGCGGAUUUAUUGGGUUUAAAGGGUGCGUAGGCGGUCUAUUAAGUCAGUGGUGAAAGUCCUGGGCUCAACCGAGGGAUUGCCAUUGAAACUGAUGGACUUGAGUUCAGUAGAGGUAUGCGGAAUUUAUGGUGUAGCGGUGAAAUGCAUAGAUACCAUAAAGAACACCGAUAGCGAAGGCAGCUUACUAGACUGAGACUGACGCUGAGGCACGAAAGCGUGGGGAGCAAACAGGAUUAGAUACCCCAGUAGUCC